AAGUUAAGCUCUCUAGCGCUGAUGGUACUUGGUGGGAAACUGCCUGGGAGAGUAGGACGUAGCCACGUAGUCUUUUUUCAUUUAUUAUAAAAAUUAAGAUUAAAUAGAAUAUAAAG
This 116-nucleotide ribosomal RNA is filed under the name Clostridioides difficile M120. RNAcentral's name for it is "CDIFFM120_00053". Lineage: Bacteria; Bacillati; Bacillota; Clostridia; Peptostreptococcales; Peptostreptococcaceae. The record is from RNAcentral.